GCAGCAAAAGCUCAUAGAGCGUCGGCCUUGUAAGCCGAAGAGUGGAAAGAUAGUUUCCUUGCCGUA
This 66-nucleotide transfer RNA is filed under the name Entemnotrochus rumphii. Its description in RNAcentral is "tRNA-Thr". It matches the Rfam family "tRNA". From Rfam's summary of the family: Transfer RNA (tRNA) molecules are approximately 80 nucleotides in length. Their secondary structure includes four short double-helical elements and three loops (D, anti-codon, and T loops). The record is from RNAcentral. Lineage: Eukaryota; Metazoa; Mollusca; Gastropoda; Pleurotomariida; Pleurotomariidae.